Long non-coding RNA from Otolemur garnettii (small-eared galago), 791 nucleotides. RefSeq lists it as uncharacterized. The record is from RefSeq and is a predicted model, not a curated record. Lineage: Eukaryota; Metazoa; Chordata; Mammalia; Primates; Galagidae. The transcript is spliced from 6 exons.
UUUCACUGUCUGUGGACAUUAAAAAAGCGAGCGGCGGCGGCGGGCGCCUGGGAGAGCAAGCGGCCGGGCGGCUGGCGGGCGAGCAGCGAUCGGGCGGCAGAGCGAGCGAGCAAAGCCAGCGCAGCGCUGUGACCCCAGCCUCAGCCGGCGCGGAGAGGAGACAGAACCGAGCAGAUCUCGGCGCCCUAGCUGCGCUCCUCCCGGCCGGAGCCAGCCCUACCCCGCGGUGGCGGCGGCGGCGGCGCGUCCUCCAGCGGCGGUAGCGGCGCUCGCAGCGCUCGGACUUGGUGGCUUUGCUUCCAUAUAGCGGGGCUGCUGGGGCCUCCUCCUUCUCCUGACGCUCACAGCAGCCUCCAGUCCUGGUCCACUGGCAGAGGCCUUGGCAGGAGGAAGAGGAGGCCUGUUGGUGUCAGACCAAUGCUGCAAGGGGUGUGAGGACAGGAGCCAUCAUCCAUCAUUGAGCUGCCAGACCUGCAAAGGAUGGAGCUAGAGUGAGGUGGAGGGGCCGCCAGCUGCUGACCAGCGUGUGAGACACUGGUGGCUCUCGGAUCACUAAGGCUGGACAACGUUCAUGGCUCUCGGGUAGAACCCAGUGAAACGGCCAGAAUGAAUUCUAUGGACAGGCACAUCCAGCAGACCAAUGACCGACUGCAGUGCAUCAAGCAGCACUUACAGAAUCCUGCCAACUUCCAUAAUGCUGCCACGGAGCUGCUGGACUGGUGCGGAGACCCAAGAGCCUUCCAGCGGCCCUUCGAGCAGAGCCUGAUGGGCUGUUUAACGGUGAGUCCUCA